Molecule: ribosomal RNA, 578 nt
Filed under: uncultured bacterium
Lineage: Bacteria
Description: bacterial SSU rRNA
Rfam family: Bacterial small subunit ribosomal RNA
Source: RNAcentral
ACGGGUGAGUAAUGUCUGGGGAUCUGCCCGAUAGAGGGGGAUAACCACUGGAAACGGUGGCUAAUACCGCAUAACGUCGCAAGACCAAAGAGGGGGACCUUCGGGCCUCUCACUAUCGGAUGAACCCAGAUGGGAUUAGCUAGUAGGCGGGGUAAUGGCCCACCUAGGCGACGAUCCCUAGCUGGUCUGAGAGGAUGACCAGCCACACUGGAACUGAGACACGGUCCAGACUCCUACGGGAGGCAGCAGUGGGGAAUAUUGCACAAUGGGCGCAAGCCUGAUGCAGCCAUGCCGCGUGUAUGAAGGAGGCCUUCGGGUUGUAAAGUACUUUCAGCGGGGAGGAAGGCAGUGAGGUUAAUAACCUUACUGAUUGACGUUACCCGCAGAAGAAGCACCGGCUAACUCCGUGCCAGCAGCCGCGGUAAUACGGAGGGUGCAAGCGUUAAUCGGAAUUACUGGGCGUAAAGCGCACGCAGGCGGUCUGUUAAGUCAGAUGUGAAGUCCCCGGGCUUAACCUGGGAACUGCAUUUGAAACUGGCAGGCUUGAGUCUCGUAGAGGGGGGUAGAAUUCCAGGUGU